RNAcentral lists this ribosomal RNA (451 nucleotides) under Dictyocaulus viviparus (bovine lungworm). RNAcentral describes it as "partial large subunit ribosomal RNA". The record is from RNAcentral. Lineage: Eukaryota; Metazoa; Nematoda; Chromadorea; Rhabditida; Metastrongylidae.
GGUUCGAGUAUGAAUGAAGUUUUGAUAAUUUUUUUUAUUAAUUUUAUAAUGAAUUUUUUUUGUAAAUAAAAAAUUUUGUUUUUAUUUUUGCAAAGAUAAGUCUUCGUAAAUUCUUUUUAAUUUUUUUAAAAAAAAAAAAUUAAAGUUUUCUAGGGUAGAAUUUUUUGUAUGUAUAUUUUUCUAUUAUUAGUUUAGAGAAUUACUUCGGAGUUAACAGAAAUUCAUAUUUUAUCUAGUUCUUAUAGUAAAGUAAGUUUUACAUCGGUGUUGUAUUUAUAUUGUUUGGGAGGUAGAAUGUUCAAUAUUUAAGACUGUUCUUCUUUUUAGUAUAACGUGAUAUUAGUUUAAUUCAUCGUGAGAUAGAAUUGUUUAUCUUGAAAAAUAAUUUUUUUUUUUAGGUUUUUAGUACGAAAGGAAAAAUAGUUGAAGUUAAAAACUUUAUGAUGUACGG